This 218-nucleotide unclassified non-coding RNA is filed under the name Hevea brasiliensis (rubber tree). Lineage: Eukaryota; Viridiplantae; Streptophyta; Magnoliopsida; Malpighiales; Euphorbiaceae. The record is from RNAcentral.
AGAAACUGUUCUGAACAAGUGGGGUACCGAUUUCCCCUUUCUCUUCAAGGUAUUAUCUGUUGCCAAACCUUUGUCCAUACAGGCCCAUCCAGACAAGGAUUUGGCCACUUCUUUGCAUAAAGAGCAGCCUUCUGCUUACAAGGAUGACAAUCACAAACCUGAGAUGGCUUUGGCGCUGACACAAUUUGAAGCUUUAUGUGGGUUUGUCAGUCUUGAGG